This is a long non-coding RNA of Raphanus sativus (radish), 739 nucleotides long. RefSeq lists it as uncharacterized. NCBI's taxonomy places the organism in Eukaryota, Viridiplantae, Streptophyta, Magnoliopsida, Brassicales, Brassicaceae. The transcript has 3 exons. The record is from RefSeq and is a predicted model, not a curated record.
AGUUUAGUGUAUAUGUUUCGUUAUGAAUCUCAUGUCUAAAUGAACUAUAUAUAGUGACUGAACCUAAUCAUACUAUGUCAGUAGGUCUUGCUUAUACUAGUUUUAAAAUAUGUAUACAAAAACUGACAUGGUUAUAUAUUCAUUGUUGUUAAAGACCUAAUAAUAUAUUUCUUGGAUGCUAGUUUAUAAUCAACAUUAUUAAUCAAUCGGAAUUAGGGAUGAUCUAACAGUGAAUUGCGAGAAAAUAUCUUUGAUGCCCACAAUCUCCUUCACUAUCAGUGGAAGAACUUUUACUAUCUCCUCUAAAGAUUAUGUAGAAAUAUCGCCCUUCAGACGUGAGUACACCACCUUAUUCAAGCCCAAUAUUUAUAGCAGUAAUAGACUGAUAGUAGCAGUGGUGAUGGUGAUGAUUAUGAAAUUGAUGAUAAUCUUUGCUAUGAACUAUGGAAUAAAGUUGCAACAAGACUACAGCUCCAACCGCACAGGAUCUGGUCGGACACUAUGGAUCAGAUGACUUUGCUUCAGCUACCAAAACCACAUCGUCUUCUUGUCUUAACAACUUGCCAGGUGACGCCAUACUGAAUCUGGAAUGAAAGAAACACUCAACUGCAUGCUAUAACCUAUUGAUCAAGCGACUCUGUCCAAUUAAGUGAAGUCAAUUAAGGUUUACACCGAUGUGGAGAUAGAAAAAAACAAGAGGCCAGGUAUAUAAAGAAAAGACCAAGGACCGAAGAAGAGA